This 259-nucleotide long non-coding RNA is filed under the name Mytilus galloprovincialis (Mediterranean mussel). The record is from RNAcentral. Lineage: Eukaryota; Metazoa; Mollusca; Bivalvia; Mytilida; Mytilidae.
AUUUGUUUUUUUUUUUCGUGUUUUUGCCAUGCUGAAGUCUGCUUGUCUUCAGUUUAUAAGUUUUUAAUGUUCCUUUGGUUUCUCACGCCUAUUUUGUUUGCAAUUGUUUGUAAAAUACAUUAAUGCUGUACAUAACCCUCUCCCUUAUUAUAUUUUUGGAAUACUUGUAAACAUUAUAGCCAAUUGUUGCUCAUUUUGUCAUCUGUAUAUGUAGGAUAGGGUGUUUUACCUGUUUCUAAUACAGUGUUUUGUUUUCAAA